CCGUUGUAAAGUUCUUUUGCUGGGGAAGAAUAAGUGUGGGAGGGAAUGCCCGCACGAUGACAUGAACCGGUGAAUAAGCCCCGGCCAACUACGUGCCAGCAGCCGCGGUAACACGUAGGGGGCGAGCGUUGUUCGGAAUUACUGGGCGUAAAGGGCAUGUAGGCGGUCUGGUAAGCCUGGCGUGAAAGUCUGCAGCUUAACUGCAGGGGUGCGCUGGGAACUGCUGGGCUUGAGUGACGGAGAGGGAGCUGGAAUUCCUGGUGUAGGGGUGAAAUCUGUAGAUAUCAGGAAGAACACCGAUGGCGAAGGCAAGCUCCUGGCCGAUGACUGACGCUGAGGUGCGAAAGUGUGGGGAUCAAACAGGAUUAGAUACCCUGGUAGUCCACACGGUAAACGAUGUGCACUAGGUGCUGGGGCGGUAGCCUCAGUGCCGGAGCGAACGUGGUAAGUGCACCGCCUGGGGAGUAUGCUCGCAAGGGUGAAACUCAAAGGAAUUGACGG
RNAcentral lists this ribosomal RNA (501 nucleotides) under uncultured bacterium. RNAcentral's name for it is "bacterial SSU rRNA". It matches the Rfam family "Bacterial small subunit ribosomal RNA", at positions 420 to 916 of the family's 1533-position model. The record is from RNAcentral.